Molecule: ribosomal RNA, 392 nt
Filed under: uncultured soil bacterium
Lineage: Bacteria
Description: bacterial SSU rRNA
Rfam family: Bacterial small subunit ribosomal RNA
Source: RNAcentral
AGAUUGAACGCUGGCGGCAGGCCUAACACAUGCAAGUCGAGCGGCAGCACGGGUACUUGUACCUGGUGGCGAGCGGCGGACGGGUGAGUAAUGCCUAGGAAUCUGCCUGAUAGUGGGGGAUAACGUUCGGAAACGGACGCUAAUACCGCAUACGUCCUACGGGAGAAAGUGGGGGAUCUUCGGACCUCACGCUAUCAGAUGAGCCUAGGUCGGAUUAGCUAGUUGGUAGGGUAAGGCCUACCAAGGCUGCGAUCCGUAACUGGUCUGAGAGGAUGAUCAGUCACACUGGAACUGAGACACGGUCCAGACUCCGUACGGGAGUAGCGAGUGGGAAUAUUGGACAAGUGGGACGAAAGCCCUAGACUACCACGCCAUCGCCGCGUGUGUGAAGG